This is a long non-coding RNA of Macaca mulatta (Rhesus monkey), 1690 nucleotides long. Lineage: Eukaryota; Metazoa; Chordata; Mammalia; Primates; Cercopithecidae. The record is from Ensembl.
CCGUCGACCCGAAAACUACCGCCCCGCGGCGCCCGACCGGACCCACCUGUGGGCGCGAGCCCCAGCCGCCUCGCUGGGCGCUGCCUUCCCCCCGGCUCCUCCAGCAACUUUCAAGGGUCCCCCUGCAGUCUGGGCGCUGCUGUGAGCCAGGCCCGAGCUAGAAGCGGGGACCCCGGGAGCAUCGCAAACCUCGAGGGGAGUGCUUUCCACCGGAGAGACGGACGCUCGUCGCAGAAACACAUGACAUAAUUGUAUAGUUAAGGAGCUUUCGAGGGGGGCCAGCCUUGGCCUGCAGAACCUGCAGGAAUUCACCAGGGGUGGAGAGAACAUUCUACGUGAGAGACUCCAGGGAGCUGGGAGUGAAAGGAGGCGAGGAAAGCUGGAGCCCGAAGGGUGGGAGAACACAGACAGUCCCCUCCUGGGCAUUCACCUUUAAGAAACCCGCCCAGGCGCAGCCAGAGACCUGUGCCUAAUGUUCACACCGCGCUGUUCCGAAUAACAGGAGCAUUGGAAACACCCCCAAAUGCCCCUCCAUGGGCGAGUGGGCAAAUAAACUGGAAUAUUCACACCAUGAAACGUUAGACAGCAGUGAAACGGAAUGAACUUCAGCCAGAUAACAACAGAAGCAAUGCCUCAGAAGCAACGUUGAGUGACAAAACUAAGUUGCAGAAAACUGAAUACAACGGUGCAACUUUUAGAAUGUGUAAAAGCAAAACCAAAAGUGUGUGUAUUUAGACGCAUGCACCGGUGGAAAGAAAUUUAAAGCAAGGGAAAAAUGAGCAUAGGUACUGGAGAAGAGUGGUUAUCUCACGUGAAUGGGAAGGAGCUGGGAGGAGGAUGGAGUCUAGGUUUCCUCCUCUUGGACCUGCGCUGGCCUGAGUGACUCAUUGGAGUGAUAGAGCAUGAUGGGAGCAAGCUUCCUGGAUUUCCGAGCCUUGGUUAUUAAGAAGCUUUGUGGUGUCCUUUAGGGCCUCUUCAACAUUCUCUCUGGGAACCCAAGCUUCUAGAAGAGACCACCAUGCUAAGAGAGUCCACAUAUGGCCAUUCCAGUUGGCAGUCCCGCUGAGCCCAGGCUUCCACCAUCCCUACCAAGACAGCAAUCAUGUUAGUGAAGCUGUGGUGGGCCAUCCAGCCCAGCUGCCCACUGAAAACCAGGCUUCGGUCAAUGCCAUGUGGGACAGAAGAAUUACCCAAGUCUUUUGUGUCAGGCCUCUGAGCCCAAGUUAAGCCAUCAUAUCCCCUGUGACCUGCACAUAUACACCCAGAUGGCCUGAAGCAACUGAAGAUCCACAAAAGAAGUGAAAAUAACCUUAACUGAUGACAUUCCACCAUUGUGAUUUGUUUCUGCCCCACCCUAACUGAUCAACGUACUUUAUAAUCUCCCCCACCCUUAAGAAGAUUCUUUGUAAUCUCCCCCACCCUUAAGAAGAUUCUUUGUAAUCCCCCCCACCCUUAAGAAGGUUCUUUGUAAUCUCCCCCACCCUUAAGAAGGUUCUUUGUAAUUCUCCCCACCCUUGAGAAUGUACUUUGUGAGAUCCACCCCCUGCCCCCAAAACAUUGCUCUUAACCCCACCACCUAUCCCAAAACCUGUAAGAACUAAUGAUAAUCCCACCACCCUUCGCUGACUCUCUUUUCGGACUCAGCCGGCCUGCACCCAAGUGAAAUAAACAGUCUUGUUGCUCACACAAA